Molecule: ribosomal RNA, 459 nt
Filed under: uncultured bacterium
Lineage: Bacteria
Description: partial 16S ribosomal RNA
Rfam family: Bacterial small subunit ribosomal RNA
Source: RNAcentral
CCUACGGGAGGCUGCAGUGAGGAAUAUUGGUCAAUGGGCGGGAGCCUGAACCAGCCAAGCCGCGUGAGGGAAGAAGGUACAGCGUAUUGUAAACCUCUUUUGUCAGGGAACAAAGGCGGGGACUAGUCCCCGGAUGAGGGUACCUGAAGAAAAAGCAUCGGCUAACUCCGUGCCAGCAGCCGCGGUAAUACGGAGGAUGCGAGCGUUAUCCGGAUUUAUUGGGUUUAAAGGGUGCGCAGGGGGCCUGUUAAGUCAGCGGUAAAAGCCCGGGGCUCAACCCCGGCGAGCCGUUGAAACUGGCGGGCUGGAGUUGGAGAGAAGUACGCGGAAUGCGCGGUGUAGCGGUGAAAUGCUUAGAUAUCGCGCAGAACCCCGAUUGCGAAGGCAGCGUACCGGCUCCACACUGACGCUGAGGCACGAAAGCGUGGGUAUCGAACAGGAUUAGAUACCCGGGUAGUC